Long non-coding RNA from Sycon ciliatum, 1372 nucleotides. RefSeq lists it as uncharacterized. The transcript is spliced from 4 exons. The record is from RefSeq and is a predicted model, not a curated record. Lineage: Eukaryota; Metazoa; Porifera; Calcarea; Leucosolenida; Sycettidae.
UAAGUUUUGAUAACCCUACAAGGUUGUAGGAUAACGGUUGCUGUACUUGGGAAGGAACAAUAUCAGAGGGCGACGAAUGUCCUGAGGCUGAAGUAGGUAGCUACGUAGGAUUCUCAACUGGAACACAGCGGAAGGUCGUUUUUGUCAUGGACGAGAGGUUUCGCUUGACGAUUUCCAGGCAUUCCGUGAUGUUUGGAAUGCCCACCACAUCCGACAUGAUACGACAAGAUUGCAGAGAUGCUAAACGCCAGUACAGGAGCACGCAUUGACUCUGACACAGCAUCAACACUGCGUCGUCGUUUUCGCUGCUCUGGCCCUGGCCGCUCUCAUCACCGUCCUGAUCAGCGUCAUGUACUUCCGACAGUAUGCCGAAACAAUGUGGGAGGAGUGGCCCGAGUUUUGGUGGAUUUAGGUAGUUUCUCACGAAGCAUCUGACCUGAGAUCGAAUUGAGAUGCAGAAAAUUUGGCCCCAUGCUGAAGUCAUGUCCGCUAAGAAGUUGGAUUCAGCAACCCAGUGUACUCUGCACCAGCCCAGGCACCUGUCAAGGACAAUCCCCUGUACGAAUCACAGGAGGUGCUGGAUAAGUGAGCAGAUAGCCAGUGUAGACAACCGGCUACGAUUAAAACAUCAUCGGUAACCAGGCGCUGCCUCUCGUAAAUAUUUCCUGUUCUCCUUUUAGCGAGCCUCGGCACCAAUCCAUUUGCGACAAUCGCCCUACAAGCUGCUGACCUCUUCUGCUAAGUGUGUUGCACAAACUCUCUCCAUGUUGUGCCUUUCCUCUCACCGAUGCACACUGCAGGAACCGCGCCAUUGAGCACCGUUUCAUGAGAGCAAGUAAGCUACAGCUGAUUUUUUAUUAUAGGGCCUAAUCCAGGGGAUUCCGAGGCGGAUCCAGAGGGGUUCCGGGGAACCCCCUAAAUUUGGCAAUGUACUACUGGAAGCCACAUGCAUGUACAUGUCCAUGUAUCAGUUAUCUAAUUUUGGCUAAACUGGAACCCCUGUAGAGAUCUCUGCAUCCGUUGAACCGGUUAUGCAUGUUGUUUAAGUGACGGAAGCUCGAGGCAAUCAGAUGCUGGUUCCGUGAGGAUGCUUGCCAGUUUUUGAAAUGCGGUGCAUGUAUCCGCGUGUCGUCUUUCCUUUUGAAUUUGUUCCGUGUGUGUCUACACAGUUUUCUAAUUGUCUGCAAACUCCAACACAGCCAUUUACAUAUUUAGAAAACUUUAACUUCUCAACUCCAAACCGUCCGAAAACGGUCUCUUCACUACGAUUCAAAUUCAAAUGUACAUUACACCUACACACAUGCUUAUAUCCAACGUCUAUUGUUCUUACGGCAUGUAAAUACUCAAUGGAUAUGGAAUUUACUCAGCACUC